CUAGCUUGCUAAUAAUUCUCUAGUGGCGCACGGGUGAGUAACACGUGAGUACCUGCCCCCAAGAGUGGGAUAGCCCCGGGAAACUGGGAUUAAUACCGCAUAAAGCAAUAAAGCAGCAAUGCGCUUGGGGAUGGGCUCGCGUCCUAUUAGUUAGUUGGUGAGGUAACGGCUCACCAAGGCGAUGACGGGUAGCCGGUCUGAGAGGAUGUCCGGCCACACUGGAACUGAGACACGGUCCAGACACCUACGGGUGGCAGCAGUCGAGAAUCAUUCACAAUGGGGGAAACCCUGAUGGUGCGACGCCGCGUGGGGGAUAAGGUCUUCGGAUUGUAAACCCCUGUCAUGUGGGACAUUAAAAGAUAGUACCACAAGAGGAAGAGACGGCUAACUCUGUGCCAGCAGCCGCGGUAAUACAGAGGUCUCAAGCGUUGUUCGGAAUCACUGGGCGUAAAGCGUGCGUAGGCGGUUUCGUAAGUCGUGUGUGAAAGGCGGGGGCUCAACCCCCGGACUGCACAUGAUACUGCGAGACUAGAGUAAUGGAGGGGGAACCGGAAUUCUCGGUGUAGCAGUGAAAUGCGUAGAUAUCGAGAGGAACACUCGUGGCGAAGGCGGGUUCCUGGACAUUAACUGACGCUGAGGCACGAAGGCCAGGGGAGCGAAAG
Molecule: ribosomal RNA, 662 nt
Filed under: uncultured bacterium
Lineage: Bacteria
Description: bacterial SSU rRNA
Rfam family: Bacterial small subunit ribosomal RNA
Source: RNAcentral